GGCUUGUAGAAAAAGAGCUCAGAAGAUACCUGUUUUCAUCCAUUGUGCAUAUGGUCAUGGAAGGAGCGUUGCAGUCAUGUGUGCACUGUUAGUAGCUCUUGGUCUAGCAGAAGACUGGAAAAAUGCUGAGAAAUUGAUCAAAGAAAAACGGCCAUACAUACGAAUGAACGCUCUGCAUCGCAAAGCUUUAGAGGAAUGGUCGAAGGAUCGUCUCUCUUCCCCAAAAGUUGGAGUUAGUUCCGUGAUUCUGUCGAGUGCUAACGAUCGUUCCUGAUCGAUUGACUGCAGUUGCAAGACCAAUUAAUUAUAUAGAUGAUUGGCUGUUUGUCUUCACUUUUGAUUACACACUAUACUUGAUGAUUGAGAUUUUUGCUUCUUUUUAUCAAG
This 387-nucleotide unclassified non-coding RNA is filed under the name Hevea brasiliensis (rubber tree). Lineage: Eukaryota; Viridiplantae; Streptophyta; Magnoliopsida; Malpighiales; Euphorbiaceae. The record is from RNAcentral.